RNAcentral lists this ribosomal RNA (394 nucleotides) under Pseudochattonella sp. Its description in RNAcentral is "partial small subunit ribosomal RNA". It matches the Rfam family "Eukaryotic small subunit ribosomal RNA", at positions 583 to 975 of the family's 1831-position model. The record is from RNAcentral. Lineage: Eukaryota; Dictyochophyceae; Florenciellales.
UUCCAGCUCCAAUAGCGUAUAUUAAAGUUGUUGCAGUUAAAAAGCUCGUAGUUGGAUUUCUGGCGUCGCCGCCCGGUUGGCCUCGAAAGGGGUAUGUACUGGGGCGCGCGUUGCCAUCCUCGGGGGAAGGUCGUCUGGCAUUAGGUUGACGGACGGUCGACGCUCGUCGUUUACUGUGAACAAAUUAGAGUGUUCAAAGCAGGCUUAGGCCGUUGAAUACAUUAGCAUGGAAUAAUGAGAUAGGACUUUGGUGGUCUAUUUUGUUGGUUUGCACGCCGAAGUAAUGAUUAAUAGGGGCGGUUGGGGGUAUUCGUAUUCAAUUGUCAGAGGUGAAAUUCUUGGAUUUAUGGAAGACGAACUACUGCGAAAGCAUUUACCAAGGAUGUUUUCAUUA